RNAcentral lists this ribosomal RNA (274 nucleotides) under uncultured bacterium. RNAcentral's name for it is "partial 16S ribosomal RNA". It matches the Rfam family "Bacterial small subunit ribosomal RNA", at positions 523 to 796 of the family's 1533-position model. The record is from RNAcentral.
AUACGGAGGGUGCAAGCGUUACUCGGAAUCACUGGGCGUAAAGUGCGCGCAGGCGGGCUGAUAAGUUGGAUGUGAAAGCCUACGGCUCAACCGUAGAACUGCAUCCAAAACUGUCAGUCUAGAGUGUGGGAGAGGAAGAUGGAAUUAGUUGUGUAGGGGUAAAAUCCGUAGAGAUAACUAGGAAUACCAAAAGCGAAGGCAAUCUUCUGGAACACUACUGACGCUGAGGCGCGAAGGCGAGGGGAGCAAACAGGAUUAGAAACCCCGGUAGUCC